CCUACGGGCGGCAGCAGUGGGGAAUAUUGGACAAUGGGGGGAACCCUGAUCCAGCCAUGCCGCGUGUGUGAAGAAGGCCCUCGGGUUGUAAAGCACUUUCAGUGAGGAAGAACGCCUGGUGGUUAAUACCCAUCAGGAAAGACAUCACUCACAGAAGAAGCACCGGCUAACUCCGUGCCAGCAGCCGCGGUAAUACGGAGGGUGCGAGCGUUAAUCGGAAUUACUGGGCGUAAAGCGCGCGUAGGUGGCUUGAUAAGCCGGUUGUGAAAGCCCCGGGCGCAACCUGGGAACGGCAUCCGGAACUGUCAAGCUAGAGUGCAGGAGAGGAAGGUAGAAUUCCCGGUGUAGCGGUGAAAUGCGUAGAGAUCGGGAGGAAUACCAGUGGCGAAGGCGGCCUUCUGGACUGACACUGACACUGAGGUGCGAAAGCGUGGGUAGCAAACAGGAUUAGAUACCCUAGUAGUC
RNAcentral lists this ribosomal RNA (465 nucleotides) under Vreelandella stevensii. RNAcentral describes it as "partial 16S ribosomal RNA". It matches the Rfam family "Bacterial small subunit ribosomal RNA", at positions 338 to 795 of the family's 1533-position model. Lineage: Bacteria; Pseudomonadati; Pseudomonadota; Gammaproteobacteria; Oceanospirillales; Halomonadaceae. The record is from RNAcentral.